UCCUCUCAUCCCCUCCACAUACAAUGUGAUUGCAGACGCACGAGAUCGCCGCCGCCGACGGAGGGGUGAUCUCGCCGCCACGGACCUCAAAGGGAAUACGCGAUUUCGCAAUGGGCCACUCCUGUCCCGGACGAGGUCCCAAGCCGCUGCUCCUCCUCUCCCGGGACGCAGCCGCCACCGCAGAACCAGGGAGACGCCGGCGACCGUCGCUGCCAUCGCGGAUCACCGGGAAGCCACCGCCUGCACAGCCACCGUCGCGCCUCGGAUAUGUCGCGGAUCACCAGGACGCGGCCGUCACGGAUCAGGAACACCACGACACCGCCGGCGGCGUCCCCUAGGAUACCGGCGACCGGCGGCGAUCUGAGACCAACGAGUCGACACUACACCCCUGAGUGAUUGCUGCACUGGCUUUUGGCUACCGAUGCAAGUUGGGAACUCAUUCAGUGAUUUGAGGGUGCAGGCAGAGAUGAUGCUGCGGAUGGGAUGGGAAGAUGUGUGUGUGCUAGCUGCCAUUGCAUGGACUUUAUUUUUCGGAUAGUUCAGCGUCUUAUUACAAAUCUGAUAGUGCUAUCUGCCACACAUACACCAUGCUACGAAUCUAUUUACAUACGACUCAGAGAAAGAAUUGCUUUGCAGGUUGCCAACAUCACGAAUUUCAUACUUAUGGAGUGGAGCCACCAAACAAUUUAUGAGGUAAAAUCACUAUAUACAUAUUGUUUUCCCACCUCUGCUUCAAGCGACAUGCAUUCGUUGCAAAGAAAUCGGCAUCACCUGCGUGAUUGCUUGUGUUUGUUUCUAGCCGGUAAGAAUCCAUCGAGUCUUCCUAUAUGUGUGCAACCUUGCCAGUGUGUGAAUCAAUCAAGGCAAGGGCAACCAACGUUAAGUACGUGCGAGUCUUGCCGGGAUCUGAUCUAUCAACUCCUUCAGCCAGCUUUGCACCAUGUGCACAUUGUCCAUGCUAGAAAAGCACUUAGUAAGUGGACGGCUCCAUUGGCCAUGUGUCAACAAUUCAAAUAUUUAUCUAUACUCAAUAGACACAUACCUUUUUAUGCAAUUCUGAAUUUAUGGAAGCAGGAUAACUGAUCAUGUGAAUUAAAUAUCUAAUCCCAUGUGUAGGUGCUAUCCAACUGUUGUGAUUAUUUAUGCACAUAUAACUUGCAGGUAGAUAACUCUAUAGUAUGAAGACUUAAAAAUACGAGUGCAUGUCAUUGGUGUUUUUGAAUCCAUCUUCCAUCACUUUUAAUACGUUUGUAUUACAUAAUACUAUUUUUUCAGCAUUUGACUGACAUAUCAAUGGUAUUUGUAAUAAGUUUCUUUCUUUAAAUUCUUUAGCAGGAAAUAUGUUGAAGCACCGAAUGUAUUCCAUUUGCAGUUAGUAUUGUCCCCAGUUCUGCUUGAUUUGAUUUUUAUUUCCUAUCAGUUUUGUGUUUUGUCAGAGAAUGGUUUUUCUUUACCUACGGUAGUCCCGGUACUCAGGUAAAUCCUUUUGCAUCAUUUCACUAUUGGUUCUGUUGUAAUUGUAUUAGAUUGGGAUUGCAACAUGUGGGCGCCAACAAACAUAAUUUCAAAAUUGCACGUUAUUUGUAUGACAUAAAACUAAAUGAGAUAUCACUCAACUCACAUGAACUUUGGAUAACAUUGUAGUUAAACAUUCAUUACUUGCAAUGCAUUAGCAACCCCAAAAUGUUAGAACUGGAUCUUGAACGCUUGUAACAAAAUUUUACCAUCCUCAAGAAUUUAAAGAGAAAGAAAGGUUUGCACUUACAUUCCUGUUAGUCCACUACCAAUUCAUAGUAUUGUUAGGAUUCCUGGGAUCCUAAAUUUUGACUAUUUAGCUGAUCCCAAGUUAUUUAUAUAGUUUUAUCCCAUUUCAUCAGAUGUUUUUGGUUGCACGUAUUAAUUUACUGAUUGUGUACUUGAAGCAAUUUACUGACUUGUGUAGUAUUAAGCUGAUCCCAUGUUAGGCUUUUAAGUUUUCCCUCAUUACACCAUUGCAUUUUAGAAUUUUGUAGCUAAAAGUUUCCAUUAAUUGGUGCCCGUAUUAGAGUGAGGAAUCGGUUAACUAAGCAUAUCGUCGCACGUAUAGAGACCUCCAGUCCAGCAUGUCAAGGCUGCUCUGCGCGGGCUCGAUUAGAGGGGUCAUGGACUUUAUUAAGAACGAGUGAGUGCCGUCCUGUAUCAAGUGCAUGCCAUGGGUUUGAUAAUAUCUAAAAGAAUCAAUUUGUACUAUUCGCUGGGGUAGCAUCACGAUGACACAGAAUUAAGGACUCGUGAUUGGGAGUGUCUAAAAAUUUAUAAACUAUUCUGAUGUUCCAUAAAUCGUUAGUUUACCAAAAAAGGAAGGAGCUACCAUCGCGGUUUGAUUGUGUUCAUCCUGGACUAAUCAUGGUCAAUUUGAUAAGGCCUCCAUUGUUCUCUGUCGAUUGAUAUGCAUGUAGUGUGUUGCUCUUUUGGUUGAUACGUGCAAGUAAUGUAUGCCGAUUGGAAGUUGAUCAGCAUGCGUGAGAUAUGAAGAGAGGGAGGCAACACAAUGGACAUCAAUCGAGUUUCAGAAAUAAAUAUUCAUAUAAUCAAAUUUCAGGAUUGUUCAUCUUCAUAGGUUAAUUCGUGAACUUUAUUUAAUAGGUUCACUUCUUACAUAGGGACAAAGUAGGUGCCACAAUCCUGAACCCCCUGUUCAUGUUGGGUCUUCAAGGAGCUUACUUAGCUUGACCUUGUGGUUUUGAUCUGGUGAAUCACAAGCUAACAAUAAUCUGAUGUAUGACUACAGUGGAUCCUUUAAAAAAUAGGAGUCCAACAACUGUUUAUAUGAUCAGCUCUGAAAUAGUAACACAACAAAUGACAACAGAUGGUAGUUUGGCAUUUAUGAUCAACUCCUAUGAAAUAGGUACAAAUCAAAUGACACGGUACUUAUCCAAAAAUGAUGAACUGAUUUCCCAUUGACAACUAUCAAGUAUUGUAGAAUUUGACGUACGUAUAUGGAUGAUGAAUUUGCGAUGAUGAGGCCUUUAGCUACUAAUCCAUUUCUCAUGAUUUUUUGUGCCUUUUAUUUGGGUUUUUCUAGAAGCCCUUAUUAUCUACUCCCUCCGUUCCAUAAUGUAGCGCAUAUAGAUUAUCUGAAAAGUCAAACUUUGACCAAGUUUGUAUAUAAAAACAUAUUCAUCUAGAAUACCAAACACAUAUCAUUAGAUGCACCACAAGAUGUACUUCAUAUUGUAUAUAUUUGGUAUUAUAGAUAUAAAUAAUUUUCUCUAUAAACUUGGUCAAAGUUUGUAAAAUUUGAAUUUUCAGAAAAUCUAUAUGCGCUACAUUAUGGAACGGAGGGAGUAUUAUUUGAAACUUUUAGGUCCGGAGAUCUCAGUUCUUCUUUUCUUUAGAUCGGGCUGCAAAGCAAGUUGCUGAUGAAGUGAAGUAGAUGAUUCAAAAUGAGAAGAAAUUCACUGUAUUUAUUUACGAUAGUGAACUUGAAUUAUUUUGGUAAACAAUUUCGUGAGCUGGCAUUACACCUAUUUUGGUAAACUAUUUCGAGAGCUGGCAUUACAUCAUCUGUUGCGGCUCUUAUUUCAUGUGCCUUCUUGAAAGAGCACAUGUAGAAGAAAAUAUGGUGAAAUAAUAAAGUUUGUAGAGCAAGACAAUGGAUUCCAUCAACUCCAAAGUCUCAAGUUCUCAUGUUUUCUGACCUCAAUAUUAACGUGAGGUGAAUGAAGAUGAUGUCAUGUCUUGUUGCAGGGUGAUUGAGGAGACAUGUCUUGUUGCAGGGUGAUUGAGGAGUAAAUGCAAAGGAACAAAGAGUAACUGAUAAGUGUGUUGUUGUUCAGAUUAGGCAUCUGCGUAGAUUUUUUUGUUGGAAUCAAGUUCAAGACAUGUCUUUUGCUGAUUGCGCCAGCGGAGCUGCAAGAGUGGUGGACAUGCAACACGGGGAGGUGAAAGAAGGGAGGAUCAGGAAGGAUGGAGGGAGGUGACAAAGCUGAGAGAAAGGAGGGAGACACCAAGGAAUGUGGCAUGGGAAGAAAGUGAAGUUGUGCCCCAAGGCUAUAGCGUGAUCGUGUAGAAUUGUUACCUUUCCAUCAAUGCUAAGGUUCAUUGUCAUUUUUAAAGUCUGGCACUUGAAGAUCCACACAAUUGUUGUCGAGGAAGAUGGUAAACUCAAUGAGGAUGAUAAUUGGGGUUAUUUUGAAGCUCGGUGUUUGGUGGACUACUCUCGCAGUAAAGAGGACAAGGCAUGCAAACAUGAGUAACUGAUAAGUUUGUGUAAUCACUUCCAUUUUUUCUAGGAACAUUGAAUAUAAUUGAUUUUGUAAAAAAGCGGCAGAGAAGACUGUACUUUUGGACCUUCAGGUGAAGCGGGAAUUAUAUCAUUGUGAUAUCAAAUAAUUGUUCAUUGGUUGUUUGAAUGAGUUGUUGACAUAUGAUUGAUGUAUGAUAAA
Triticum dicoccoides is the source of this 4427-nucleotide long non-coding RNA. RefSeq lists it as uncharacterized. The transcript is spliced from 4 exons. NCBI's taxonomy places the organism in Eukaryota, Viridiplantae, Streptophyta, Magnoliopsida, Poales, Poaceae. The record is from RefSeq and is a predicted model, not a curated record.